RNAcentral lists this ribosomal RNA (480 nucleotides) under uncultured bacterium. Its description in RNAcentral is "partial 16S ribosomal RNA". It matches the Rfam family "Bacterial small subunit ribosomal RNA", at positions 28 to 507 of the family's 1533-position model. The record is from RNAcentral.
GACGAACGCUGGCGGCGUACCUAAUACAUGCAAGUCGGGCGGACCGAACGAGGGCUUGCUCUUGUUUGGUCAGCGGCGGACGGGUGAGUAACAGGUGGGCAACCUGCCCGCAAGACCGGGAUAACUCCGGGAAACCGGAGCUAAUACCGGAUAACACCGAAGACCGCAUGGUCUUCGGUUGAAAGGCGGCCUUUGGGCUGUCACUUGCGGAUGGGCCCGCGGCGCAUUAGCUAGUUGGUGAGGUAGCGGCUCACCAAGGCGACGACGGGUAGCCGGCCCGGGAGGGAGACCGGCCACAUUGGGAGUGAGAUGCGGGCCAGACGCGGACGGGAGGCAGCGGUGGGAAAUGGUGCGGAGUGGGCGGAGGCAGGAUGAAGGAACGACGCGUGCGGGAUGACGGGCUUAGGGUUGGAAACGGCUUUCGCCUGUGACGAAGCGUGAGUGACGGUAAUGGGUAAAGAAGCACCGGCUAGCUACGUG